Molecule: ribosomal RNA, 1409 nt
Filed under: Oxalobacteraceae bacterium PRE4D
Lineage: Bacteria; Pseudomonadati; Pseudomonadota; Betaproteobacteria; Burkholderiales; Oxalobacteraceae
Description: bacterial SSU rRNA
Rfam family: Bacterial small subunit ribosomal RNA
Source: RNAcentral
CUUACCUGCAAGUCGAACGGCAGCACGGACUUCGGUCUGGUGGCGAGUGGCGAACGGGUGAGUAAUAUAUCGGAACGUACCCAGUAGUGGGGGAUAACUAUCCGAAAGGAUAGCUAAUACCGCAUACGAUCUAAGGAUGAAAGCAGGGGAUCUUCGGACCUUGUGCUAUUGGAGCGGCCGAUAUCUGAUUAGCUAGUUGGUGAGGUAAAAGCUCACCAAGGCGACGAUCAGUAGCUGGUCUGAGAGGACGACCAGCCACACUGGAACUGAGACACGGUCCAGACUCCUACGGGAGGCAGCAGUGGGGAAUUUUGGACAAUGGGCGCAAGCCUGAUCCAGCAAUGCCGCGUGAGUGAAGAAGGCCUUCGGGUUGUAAAGCUCUUUUGUCAGGGAAGAAAAGGUGCGCUCUAACAUAGCGUACUGAUGACGGUACCUGAAGAAUAAGCACCGGCUAACUACGUGCCAGCAGCCGCGGUAAUACGUAGGGUGCAAGCGUUAAUCGGAAUUACUGGGCGUAAAGCGUGCGCAGGCGGUUUUAUAAGUCUGAUGUGAAAUCCCCGGGCUCAACCUGGGAACUGCAUUGGAGACUGUAAGGCUAGAGUGUGUCAGAGGGGGGUAGAAUUCCACGUGUAGCAGUGAAAUGCGUAGAUAUGUGGAGGAAUACCGAUGGGCGAAGGCAGCCCCCUGGGAUAACACUGACGCUCAUGCACGAAAGCGUGGGGAGCAAACAGGAUUAGAUACCCUGGUAGUCCACGCCCUAAACGAUGUCUACUAGUUGUCGGGACUUAAUUGUCUUGGUAACGCAGCUAACGCGUGAAGUAGACCGCCUGGGGAGUACGGUCGCAAGAUUAAAACUCAAAGGAAUUGACGGGGACCCGCACAAGCGGUGGAUGAUGUGGAUUAAUUCGAUGCAACGCGAAAAACCUUACCUACCCUUGACAUGGCAGGAAUUCCGAAGAGAUUUGGAAGUGCUCGCAAGAGAACCUGCACACAGGUGCUGCAUGGCUGUCGUCAGCUCGUGUCGUGAGAUGUUGGGUUAAGUCCCGCAACGAGCGCAACCCUUGUCAUUAGUUGCUACGAAAGGGCACUCUAAUGAGACUGCCGGUGACAAACCGGAGGAAGGUGGGGAUGACGUCAAGUCCUCAUGGCCCUUAUGGGUAGGGCUUCACACGUCAUACAAUGGUACAUACAGAGGGCCGCCAACCCGCGAGGGGGAGCUAAUCCCAGAAAGUGUAUCGUAGUCCGGAUUGUAGUCUGCAACUCGACUACAUGAAGUUGGAAUCGCUAGUAAUCGCGGAUCAGCAUGUCGCGGUGAAUACGUUCCCGGGUCUUGUACACACCGCCCGUCACACCAUGGGAGCGGGUUCUGCCAGAAGUAGGUAGCUUAACCGUAAGGAGGGCGCUACCAC